UGGCGAACGGGUGAGUAACACGUGGGCAACCUGCCCAAAAGAGGGGGAUAACACUUGGAAACAGGUGCUAAUACCGCAUAACCAUAGUUACCGCAUGGUAACUAUGUAAAAGGUGGCUAUACUACCGCUUUUGGAUGGGCCCGCGGCGCAUUAGCUAGUUGGUAGGGUAAAGGCUUACCAAGGCAAUGAUGCGUAGCCGAAUUGAGAGGUUGAUCGGCCACAUUGGGGCUGAGACACGGCCCAAACUCCUACGGGAGGCAGCAG
This 264-nucleotide ribosomal RNA is filed under the name uncultured bacterium. Its description in RNAcentral is "partial 16S ribosomal RNA". It matches the Rfam family "Bacterial small subunit ribosomal RNA", at positions 96 to 354 of the family's 1533-position model. The record is from RNAcentral.